RNAcentral lists this ribosomal RNA (468 nucleotides) under uncultured bacterium. RNAcentral's name for it is "partial 16S ribosomal RNA". It matches the Rfam family "Bacterial small subunit ribosomal RNA", at positions 28 to 507 of the family's 1533-position model. The record is from RNAcentral.
GACGAACGCUGGCGGCGUGCUUAACACAUGCAAGUCGAACGGAAAGGCCCUGCUUUUGUGGGGUGCUCGAGUGGCGAACGGGUGAGUAACACGUGAGUAACCUGCCCUUGACUUUGGGAUAACUUCAGGAAACUGGGGCUAAUACCGGAUAGGAGCUCCUGCUGCAUGGUGGGGGUUGGAAAGUUUCGGCGGUUGGGGAUGGACUCGCGGCUUAUCAGCUUGUUGGUGGGGUAGUGGCUUACCAAGGCUUUGACGGGUAGCCGGCCUGAGAGGGUGACCGGACACAUUGGGACUGAGAUACGGCCCAGACUCCUACGGGAGGCAGCAGUGGGGAAUAUUGCACAAUGGGCGGAAGCCUGAUGCAGCAACGCAGCGUGCGGGAUGACGGGCUUCGGGUUGUAAACCGAUUUCGCCUGUGACGAAGCGUGAGUGACGGUAAUGGGUAAAGAAGCACCGGCUAACUACGUG